AUGGGCUCGGUGACGCUCCGCUCGCACCGCCCGCGGCUCGGUAGCUCGACGGGAGCGCUUGCCCUGACUCGAGCCCCUCCUACCGGCACAAGAGCUGUAUCACAGCAAAUUCGGCACAGAUGCGCGAUUGAGCUUUCGCUCCCGACACGCGGCUGUCUGCGAGUUCAUGUUGUAACAGCAAAAGGACCAUCAAGGACCCAGCGGCUGCCCGCGCAUCCUUCGGCUGCUCCCUUCGCUGCUCUCACCGCGUCCCCGCCGCGGCCCGGCUCCCGCACAGCGCGGCUCCCGCUCCCCCAGCCCCGGGGCGGCACGCGUGCGGGGCACGGCCGGCAGCGCCGGAGCGACGCAGGGGGCAAAACCGAAGCCCCGUUCGCACCGAUCACUGCGGCGAGUCCGGCGAACCCACCUAAGUCAGACAGGUUCUUGGAGGCAUCAGACGCAGAGGUCCGAUCCCGGAGGGCUGCGGGUUCACGCGGACGCCGGUCCCCGCGCUCCAGGGGUGGCGCGGCGGCAGCGACGCGUACUCAGCCCUCCUCGGGAACGCGCCCGGCCCCGCCACGAGCACCCGCCCCGCCGCUCCGCAGCCCCGCGGCGGCCCCUCCCCGCGUUGCCGGGCUCCGAGCGCGCUCCUCGGCGACGGGACGGGACGGGGUGCCGCCCCCGGUGCGGUGCGGCGUUGUGCUGCGGGCUGCCCCCGCGGCCCCGGCCCCGCCCGCAGCUCUUCCCGCACGUGUGCCGGGUUUGGGUGCCGCCGGGUGCUGCUCGGCAGCCCGAGCGAAGAUCCACCCUGCCCUCACCUGUGCCACUUUGGAUUUGGCCACUGAACCAAAGGCAGUGAAAGCUCUGUCAUGUGAAAGCAACGAGCACUGUUUGAAGCAGAAAUGUCAUUCACGCUGAGAUGAGAAUCUGUACCAAUCUUGUGUUUCUGUAACUAACACACUCCAUGAAAGCUCUGCCAUCCUACUUCAUUGCUGCAUCCCUUCUUCUGAAGUUGACCCUACUAACGCUGGAGCUGAUUGUCGGUGCACAUUGACAGAGACUGCCCUGCUCUGUGGCAAACUUGGCACUCCAGCAGAGAGAACUGGUCCAAU
Molecule: long non-coding RNA, 1091 nt
Filed under: Phasianus colchicus (ring-necked pheasant)
Lineage: Eukaryota; Metazoa; Chordata; Aves; Galliformes; Phasianidae
Description: lncRNA (ENSPCLG00000012976.1)
Source: RNAcentral